Molecule: ribosomal RNA, 443 nt
Filed under: uncultured bacterium
Lineage: Bacteria
Description: partial 16S ribosomal RNA
Rfam family: Bacterial small subunit ribosomal RNA
Source: RNAcentral
CCUACGGGAGGCAGCAGUGGGGAAUAUUGGGCAAUGGGCGCAAGCCUGACCCAGCAACGCCGCGUGAAGGAAGAAGGCUUUCGGGUUGUAAACUUCUUUUCUCAGGGACGAAGCAAGUGACGGUACCUGAGGAAUAAGCCACGGCUAACUACGUGCCAGCAGCCGCGGUAAUACGUAGGUGGCAAGCGUUAUCCGGAUUUACUGGGUGUAAAGGGCGUGUAGGCGGGGACGCAAGUCAGAUGUGAAAACCACGGGCUCAACCUGUGGCCUGCAUUUGAAACUGGGUUUCUUGAGUACUGGAGAGGCAGGCGGAAUUCGUGGUGUAGCGGUGAAAUGCGUAGAUAUUAGGAGGAACACCGAUGGCGAAGGCGGUCUGCUGGAGAGCAAAUGACGCGGAGGCGCGAAAGCGUGGGGAGCAAACAGGAUUAGAUACCCGAGUAGUC